GAUGGAAUGACUGUCUUUGCGUAAUAAAGCAUUGGCUUCCUUGUGGGCCAUGCCAGGGUGUUUCUUUCAUCAGCCAGCUGGCUGUGCGAGCACUGAGAAGCUAUACUUUGGAGCUGGGACCAAGUUGACUGUUUUAGAAUCAGGACAACAAUCGAGAGCCCCAAAUGUGACCACUUUUGCCCCCUCCAGGCAGGAAAUUGAAGAAAAAUAUGUGGUCACCCUUGUGUGCUUGGCGAGCAAUUUCAUUCCAGACCACGUUAACAUUAACUGGUACCAGUCUGACGAAGAGAUAACAGAGGGGGUAAAGACGGAGGAGUUCUCCAAAUAUGACAGUACAACGAAGACCUAUUCCUUGAUCAGCCGCUUGAGGAUCUCCAAGGACAAGUGGAGGAAUUCUAUAAGUCCAUUCCAGUGUAAAGUCAAAUUCUAUGAGAAUGACACUGUGAAUGUCUAUGAAAGUGUCAUCCAGGGUGAAGGUUGUGAUGCAGCAAAAGUGUCAUAUAGAAACAGUGGCUAUGUCGGAUUCUUUGUCUACAUUCUUCUUAUCUGCAAGAGCACCUGCUAUGGAGUGUUUGUUAUGGUAUUGAUGCUGAGGAAAAAGAAAGUGUAAUAGAAGUUCUUUACUUGGAAACCUCUUGCCAGCAUGCAAUGAAUUGUUUGAAACCAGAAGGAAAGAGGAAUGCAAAUACUCUUGCCCUAAUAUCCGAUGCAGCAUUUUUGAACUUUCUUAACAUAACCAUAUUUGUUUUGACUCUGUCUGAGGUUAUUCAGUUUGAGGCUAUUCAGUUCUUUAUGUUUGUAAAAACACUGGCCAUUUUUUUUAUUUAGGUUUGUUAACAUUUUUAAUAAUGCCAGUUGAAGGUAAGCAUGCUUAAAACAACAGGCUUAAAGCCCCAUUGAUUUCAGAGAGAGCUGUGGUGUUUACAGGGCUGAAAUCAAUGCAGUUUGAGGUGUUUAACUUUGACUGGAUCAGGUCCAGUGAUUUAAAAGAAAUAGGCUUAAAAAUGACUCUAUUAAAAAAGAGUGGAAAAAGGAAACAAGGCAAACUGACUAAAAAGAGUCUAUGACUUAUUAAAAAGGAGACACUGAAAGCACAAAAAAAACUUGAGCAUCUUAAAUGUCUUUUAAAUAAAGUUGCAGAUUGUUUAAUUUGUAGUGUUUUCUCUGUUAUUAGCAUUUCUGACACAAGAAUUCAGAUCUUCUCAACGGGUCUCAGAUGUAUUGCCACAAACUAACUUUGGUGGGGGUAGGGUCUUGUCUCAUUUUAUUGUGUGUUUCGUUCUGAAUAAACUGAUUGUGUGUUCCUUUCUGAA
Sphaerodactylus townsendi is the source of this 1313-nucleotide non-coding RNA. NCBI's taxonomy places the organism in Eukaryota, Metazoa, Chordata, Lepidosauria, Squamata, Sphaerodactylidae. The record is from the annotation of a RefSeq genome assembly.